RNAcentral lists this transfer RNA (75 nucleotides) under Candidatus Woesearchaeota archaeon. Its description in RNAcentral is "tRNA-Pro". It matches the Rfam family "tRNA". From Rfam's summary of the family: Transfer RNA (tRNA) molecules are approximately 80 nucleotides in length. Their secondary structure includes four short double-helical elements and three loops (D, anti-codon, and T loops). Lineage: Archaea; Nanobdellati; Candidatus Woesearchaeota. The record is from RNAcentral.
GGGGUUGUGGGGUAACUUGGUCCAUCCUUUCCGCUUUGGGAGCGGACGAUGCCGGUUCAAAUCCGGCCAGCCCCA